GUUAAUGAACUAAGUCGUGCACAUUUGGUCGAUUGCAAGCAAAAAAAUCAACAUAACAUAAUCUUACCUGGUUGCGUCGUGGUCUUACAGAUUUGGACGUUUGAGCGACUUGGAUUAGGCGGGCCCAAUAGGAAAAUUGUUUUCCCAAGAAUUUUGCGAUGACCAAGUUUGAAGUUAAGAACAACAAGCAUUGAGAGACUUUUAAUUAAACCGAAGAUUAUUAUUUGGGAUUGGACAUUAACGGUUGAAUGUAGAUCAAAUCCAAUUGUUCGGGUUGCACUAAAUAUUGACGGUGAAACAAUCAAUGAAGAUGAUGAUGAUAGUGGUGAAUCUAAUUUUGAGGAUAUUUGCAUGAAGAAAGUGAAAAUGAAUGAGAUGGAAAUAAUUGCCAUGAAGAAGUAGUUGAAGAUACUGCAGGAUGAAGUAUUGUUACGUGGUAAAUAGUCAUCCCAAGAAGAGCCUAAUGUUGGAGAUGAUAAGGCUGAUAUUUUUAAAGGAAGCGGAGAAAAGUCUUCUUAUUUUGAUGAUGCGACAAAAGGUAGUAGAGAUAAAGUUCAUGAUGAUGUUCAUAUGAGUAAGGUUUCUGAAGCCUGUGGAGAGAAAGAUGUUAAGAAGGCACAAGUUAAACAAGAAUAUACUCCAUUUAAAGUAGUAACUGUUAACUUUGCUGGAUAUUAUUACAAGACUACUGAGUUUGUUCUAAUAGCAGCAACAAGUGAACCCAUUCAAGCGCAUUAUAAUUCAUUGGGUGUGGAUGCAAUGAAGUUGUACAUGAUGUUGUAUGCCAUUUCUUUUACUGUUAU
Molecule: long non-coding RNA, 803 nt
Organism: Vigna unguiculata (cowpea)
Lineage: Eukaryota; Viridiplantae; Streptophyta; Magnoliopsida; Fabales; Fabaceae
Source: RefSeq, a predicted model, not a curated record